Long non-coding RNA from Vicia villosa (hairy vetch), 865 nucleotides. RefSeq lists it as uncharacterized. The record is from RefSeq and is a predicted model, not a curated record. NCBI's taxonomy places the organism in Eukaryota, Viridiplantae, Streptophyta, Magnoliopsida, Fabales, Fabaceae. The transcript has 3 exons.
AAUUGUGCUGCUUUACAUAAUAGACCUACACCAUAUAUCUGACCAAUUAUUUGAACCGUACUUUUUGCUUCGUUCAAUCGCAAAUCCGCAAUUCUGCAAAUAACUUUUUUACUGCUUUGAAAUCUACAGUUCUGUAAUGGACAGUUUUACUGCUCAAUUCUGCUACUCAACAAUCCACAAUCCAUUAAUGUCAAGGUUCUAGUUGAAUAUUGUCUGAUCAGAUUAGUCUCUUUGAGUGAAAGUAAGCAAAAUAGCGUUGGUUGUUGCGGUUUGGAAUCUAGGAGCUAUCUUAUAGUCUGCAUCUAGAAACAUGUUAAUGAAUGUUGUUUGGUCUGCGGAAGUUGUGCUGCAAUUUGGGUGUGUGACUCUUAUCUUUUUCUCUUCAUUCAUUCCCUGACCUUUUGUAUGUGAUUUGUAUAUUUUUCAACCGGUCUGCUCUAAGAUAUUGAGAGUUUACAGUGCUGUCAUGGUUUUAGAUAUAUGGCAGUAGGCAAAAGUAGGACAGAGAUAACUCAUUUUAACAUUGUGUGCUUUGUGUUUUGUUUCAUUAUAGUAGUAUAAGUGUGAUUUGUACUCUUAAAGCAUCUUAGUUAGCUAACUUCACCUUCUAGGAAACAUGCAUACAUGCAUAUUAAAUUAUACUAAAAAUAUGGAUAUAUUUGGAUCAUUACCAAUUCUUAUAGUCCUGUUGUAAACAAUAUGGUUGUUCAUCUGUCAUAGAUUUGGAAUGUCAGCCACCUAAAUUGCUUUAGUUUAGAGCAUGGAUUUGGUUUGCAAGAGAAUCAAAUAGCAAGGACUAAAGAAAUAUUGACAUCACCUUAAUUUUAGUUUUAGUUUGCUUAAAAUGAAAAGAUGAGAAUAUAGU